RNAcentral lists this ribosomal RNA (253 nucleotides) under uncultured bacterium. Its description in RNAcentral is "partial 16S ribosomal RNA". It matches the Rfam family "Bacterial small subunit ribosomal RNA", at positions 524 to 776 of the family's 1533-position model. The record is from RNAcentral.
UACAGAGGCCCCAAGCGUUGUUCGGAUUCAUUGGGCGUAAAGGGUGCGUAGGCGGCGGGGUAAGUCAGGUGUGAAAUCCCGGAGCUCAACUCCGGAACUGCACUUGAUACUGCCUUGCUCGAGUACUGGAGAGGAGACUGGAAUUUACGGUGUAGCAGUGAAAUGCGUAGAUAUCGUAAGGAAGACCAGUGGCGAAGGCGAGUCUCUGGACAGUUACUGACGCUGAGGCACGAAGGCCAGGGGAGCAAACGGG